AGAGGAAACCUCGUGAAGGCCACAUGGGCUCCUAGUGAGAAGAUCGUGGAGCUUCAGUCUCCAACUGGAACGUUUUGGCAGACGAUGGGCUUUUCUGCCAACGGCAAGCAGGUUCUCUUCCCCGAAGAGGCUCUCUACCUGAUGGAGUGUUUUCGAUGGCCCGGUACCGGACCUAUGGUCCAUCAAGCGGCUGACCUUCCAGAGCGGAGACGUCCCGGUGGUCUUUGCUGUGGUGGACCACGGAGACAUCUCCUUCUACACCUUCAAAGACUUCCAGCUGCCCACUGACGUUUACCCCUGAGAUCUCACCGCUCUUUAACGUCACCGUCACACACGGGCCAACACGUAUCCAGGACUUUUACAUUCAUCUGCAUCUGUUGGGUCGGCUGGACGUCCAAAGAUAUCAAUAAAUCCAAUCGUUUAUGUUACAGAUGAAAAAACUAAUCCUGAAACUUGUAUUUUGUGUGUUUGGCCAGUGAUUUACAAUGAGGCUGGUUUUACUGCCAAAGUUCUUUUUCU
This is a long non-coding RNA of Cottoperca gobio, 519 nucleotides long. RefSeq lists it as uncharacterized. The record is from RefSeq and is a predicted model, not a curated record. NCBI's taxonomy places the organism in Eukaryota, Metazoa, Chordata, Actinopteri, Perciformes, Bovichtidae. The transcript has 3 exons.